GUCGGGCAUGGUGGCGUGUGCCUGUAAUCCCAGCUACUCAGGAGGCUGAGGCAGGAGAAUCACUUGAACCCGGGAGGCAGAGGUUGCGGUGAGCCGAGAUCGUGCCACUGCACUCCUGCCUGGCUGACACAGUGAAACUCUGCCUCAA
Molecule: non-coding RNA, 148 nt
Filed under: Pan troglodytes (chimpanzee)
Lineage: Eukaryota; Metazoa; Chordata; Mammalia; Primates; Hominidae
Source: Rfam by way of RNAcentral